UACGUAGGUGGCAAGCGUUGUCCGGAUUUACUGGGCGUAAAGGGCGUGCAGGCGGUUUGUUAAGUCUAGGGUGAAGGCUCCCGGCUCAACUGGGAGAGGUCCUUGGAUACUGGCGAACUUGAGGGAUGCAGAGGAAAGUGGAAUUCCCGGUGUAGUGGUGAUAUGCGUAGAUAUCGGGAGGAACACCAGUGGCGAAGGCGGCUUUCUGGGCAUUUCCUGACGCUGAGACGCGAAAGCGUGGGGAGCGAACCGG
This 253-nucleotide ribosomal RNA is filed under the name uncultured bacterium. RNAcentral's name for it is "partial 16S ribosomal RNA". It matches the Rfam family "Bacterial small subunit ribosomal RNA", at positions 524 to 776 of the family's 1533-position model. The record is from RNAcentral.